AAAGGGAAGAAGGAAUUUUUGAAAUUCUUUUCUUCCAGGGGUUUAUUUGCAAAAGGGUUUUUGCACUAUACAGACAUCAUCCUACCUUCCUGCAUUUCUUGGCGUGCGUGUGAAGUAGAGGGUCCGUACAUCCGGGCCUCGCAUAGCACCAGAUCCAUCAGUACCAGAUCCGGCACCAGAUCCAGUUCUAGAUCCAGUUUCCGAUCCAGUAUCAGAUCUAGCAUCUGAUCCAGUAUCUGAUCCAGCACUUGGCCCUGUACCAGAUUCUGUUCCUGAGUACCUUGACCAUCUUCCGCUGCGGAAUCGAGGUAUGGUAAACAUAAUAUAGUUAUGUUAUUUAUUUAUACCUGUUAUAAAUAAAUAGAUAAAAUUUUAAAACUGAUUUUCUGACCUGGCAUCCGAUUUUAUCGGAUUUUGCGGG
RNAcentral lists this long non-coding RNA (421 nucleotides) under Phoenix dactylifera (date palm). RNAcentral describes it as "long non-coding RNA (PDAC_LNC014632)". Lineage: Eukaryota; Viridiplantae; Streptophyta; Magnoliopsida; Arecales; Arecaceae. The record is from RNAcentral.